GUCUGUUCUUCCUUAUGCACUGAGUUCCAGAGCUAAAAUGUAAUGCUUAUAGGUUCUUCAUGGAUUCUCAGAAGUUGUUUACUGAUUUCUGGUUAUUGGAGGAACUGCUUUAGCUUCUGUUUCUUAUAGAAAGCUGAUACUCUCACGAGGCAUUGAUUAAAGCUACUCUCAGCAUCCUGGAUGGAGCACAGGAGAGGUUGCACUUAUUUGGUUGCCAUUAUUUUCAUUACUAGUGCUUAGAUCCCAAAUCUUUGAUGGAAAAAUUCCCUAAAUGUCUAUCUAAACUUGGAAAGGCAACUGAGGUACUGUAAGGAGUUACAUAACUAGAUCUCUUCACAGGGUAAGCACCUACAUGCAUUUUUCCUGAAAUAUGGUUCUCUACUA
This 384-nucleotide long non-coding RNA is filed under the name Crocodylus porosus (Australian saltwater crocodile). Its description in RNAcentral is "lncRNA (ENSCPRG00005003864.1)". Lineage: Eukaryota; Metazoa; Chordata; Crocodylia; Crocodylidae. The record is from RNAcentral.